GAAUUCACUAGUGAUUGUGGCAGGGGCGGCGGUAAUACGGGGGAUGCAAGCGUUAUCCGGAAUUAUUGGGCGUAAAGCGUCCGUAGGUGGCUAGAUAAGUCUGCUGUCAAAGCGUGCGGCUCAACCGCAUCCGGGCAGUGGAAACUAUCCAGCUAGAGUGCGAUAGGGGUUACAGGAAUUCCCAGUGUAGCGGUGAAAUGCGUAGAUAUUGGGAAGAACACCAGCGGCGAAAGCGUGUGACUGGGUCUGCACUGACACUGAGGGACGAAAGCUAGGGGAGCGAAAGGGAUUAGAUACCCCUGUAGUCCUAGCCGUAAACGAUGACAACUAGGUGUGGUUCGUAUCGACCCGAGCCGUGCCGUAGCCAACGCGUUAAGUUGUCCGCCUGGGGAGUACGCACGCAAGUGUGAAACUCAAAGGAAUUGACGGGGGCCCGCACAAGCGGUGGAGUAUGUGGUUUAAUUCGAUGCAACGCGAAGAACCUUACCAAGGCUUGACAUCCUGCGAACUUUUCUGAAAGGAGAAGGUGCCUUCGGGAGCGCAGAGACAGGUGGUGCAUGGCUGUCGUCAGCUCGUGUCGUGAGAUGUUGGGUUAAGUCCCGCAACGAGCGCAACCCACGUUUUUAGUUGCCAUCAGGUGAAGCUGGGCACUCUAGAGAGACUGCCGGUGACAAACCGGAGGAAGGUGUGGAUGACGUCAAGUCAGCAUGCCCCUUACGCCUUGGGCUACACACGUACUACAAUGCGUUGGACAAAGGGUUGCAAGUCAGCGAUGGCAAGCCAAUCCCAUAAACCAACGCUCAGUUCAGAUUGCAGGCUGCAACUCGCCUGCAUGAAGGCGGAAUCGCUAGUAAUCGCAGGUCAGCAUACUGCGGUGAAUACGUUCCCGGGCCUUGUACACACCGCCCGUCACACCAUGGGAGUUGGUCAUGCCCGAAGUCGUUACUCUAACUGCAUGCAGAGGAGGACGCCGAAGGUGGGGCUGAUGACUGGGGUGAAGUCGUAACAAGGUAACCAAUCGAAUUCCCGCGGCCGCCAUGGCGGC
RNAcentral lists this ribosomal RNA (1045 nucleotides) under uncultured Pseudophormidium sp. Its description in RNAcentral is "bacterial SSU rRNA". It matches the Rfam family "Bacterial small subunit ribosomal RNA", at positions 488 to 1533 of the family's 1533-position model. Lineage: Bacteria; Bacillati; Cyanobacteriota; Cyanophyceae; Leptolyngbyales; Leptolyngbyaceae. The record is from RNAcentral.